Long non-coding RNA from Crotalus tigris (Tiger rattlesnake), 1050 nucleotides. RefSeq lists it as uncharacterized. The record is from RefSeq and is a predicted model, not a curated record. Lineage: Eukaryota; Metazoa; Chordata; Lepidosauria; Squamata; Viperidae. The transcript is spliced from 4 exons.
CCCGAACCAAGAUACGCGCUCCUCUUUCUCCGCCAAAAGAUCAAGAGAUUACGACGGGGCUGCAGUUACGGCUGAGAAUCGAGCAGGUGUUUAACUCUUUUCUUGGAAACGUGGGAAGAUCUAUACUUUCGGAGUGCAUUAACAAACAAAUUUAUAUUCGGCAAUAAAUGAAAUAAUCCAGCUGAAGUAGGAAAAGCCUUUCAGAGUCAUAUCUAACCUUUCUGGGACUGAGCUCAUUGAUAGCAAAUAACUAGAAUCGACGCAGUAUCAGGCGAAAUCUUCAAUCAAGGCUAAAUUGGACAGCAUGCCAGUUUGGUGCUUUUCUACCCCGUUUUUUUUAUUUGAUUCAGAUUCCCCAUGCUCUGAUGCCAAGUUCACACAACAUGUUUCAUUGUUGACAAGUCAUUUUCCUGAUUUGUCAAGCCAUGCGUAGCAGGGGCCCAAUCAGGGAAGCAAGGACGAUGCAAAUGUGUUGUUUGUAUUUACAACCCAGCAGAGGACAUGGUAUCGUUUCCUAACUGUGCAGCCACGGAACUGCUCCAAGCCAGAACCGGAGUUUUAUCAUUCAUUGUAGAAAGGAAAUUGGCUGGAGGAAGGUUGGCUUUGAGCAGAAACUUUGGACAAAGAAACGCUUGCAAUUUUGAGUCAGCGACUAUGUUCACACAUUGCUCCGAUUAUGGUUUGUUUGUCUUUUAAACAACAAAUAGGAUUCCCCCCCCCCAAGAAUGGCUGCUUGUUCUAUCCUAAGCAAACCUAGCUGUGUACACAGUGGGAGCUGCAAAGAUAGGACAAUGUCUUCCACUCCCUUCUUUCCACAGAUGGAACAGAGGAAGGCACGACCUAUUCCUAGAUGGCUACUGUGAGCAGACACAACAGAUGUCCAUUAGAUGCUACCAGGAUGUCAUGGAUGUUAUGCGGGCAACUUCCCCAAUCACAAUGCAUGCCAGAAAACUCAGGCUCAGCAAUGGAAUAUCAAUGAAGCAAAAAGCAAGAUAGUUUUUCUGGGAUUUCUAUGGCCCUAAAAGGCUCUCUUGCAAAUGCAGAUGAUUG